Triticum aestivum (bread wheat) is the source of this 135-nucleotide non-coding RNA. The record is from Rfam. Lineage: Eukaryota; Viridiplantae; Streptophyta; Magnoliopsida; Poales; Poaceae.
GAGGUACUCCCUCCGUCCGGAAAAGCUUGUCAUCAAAAUGGAUAAAAGAGGAUGUAUCUAAAACUAAAAUACAUCUAGAUACAUCUCCUUUUAUUCAUUUUGAUGACAAGUAUUUCCUGACGGAGGGAGUAGUUG